GCGACCCCAGGUCAGGCGGGGCUACCCGCUGAGUUA
Molecule: ribosomal RNA, 36 nt
Filed under: Crocus vernus
Lineage: Eukaryota; Viridiplantae; Streptophyta; Magnoliopsida; Asparagales; Iridaceae
Description: partial 28S ribosomal RNA
Source: RNAcentral